Molecule: ribosomal RNA, 160 nt
Filed under: uncultured bacterium
Lineage: Bacteria
Description: partial 16S ribosomal RNA
Source: RNAcentral
CACGUAGUUAGCCGGUGCUUAUUCUUACGGUACCGUCAUGAGCCCCAGGUAUUAACCAGAGCCUUUUCGUUCCGUACAAAAGCAGUUUACAACCCGAGGGCCUUCAUCCUGCACGCGGAAUGGCUGGAUCAGGCUUGCGCCCAUUGUCCAAAAUUCCCCA